GGAGCAACGGAUAGUGGGGGAACCUGGGGACCCAGGCUAAUACCGCAUACGUCCUACGGGAGAAAGGGGGCUUCGGCUCCCGCUAUUGGAUGAGCCUAUGUCGGAUUAGCUAGUUGGUGAGGUAAAGGCUCACCAAGGCAACGAUCCGUAGCUGGUCUGAGAGGAUGAUCAGCCACAUCGGGACUGAGACACGGCCCGAACUCCUACGGGAGGCAGCAGUGGGGAAUAUUGGACAAUGGGGGCAACCCUGAUCCAGCCAUGCCGCGUGUGUGAAGAAGGCCCUCGGGUUGUAAAGCACUUUCAGCGAGGAAGAACGCCUAUCGGUUAAUACCCGGUAGGAAAGACAUCACUCGCAGAAGAAGCACCGGCUAACUCCGUGCCAGCAGCCGCGGUAAUACGGAGGGUGCAAGCGUUAAUCGGAAUUACUGGGCGUAAAGCGCGCGUAGGUGGCUUGAUAAGCCGGUUGUGAAAGCCCCGGGCUCAACCUGGGAACGGCAUCCGGAACUGUCAGGCUAGAGUGCAGGAGAGGAAGGUAGAAUUCCCGGUGUAGCGGUGAAAUGCGUAGAGAUCGGGAGGAAUACCAGUGGCGAAGGCGGCCUUCUGGACUGACACUGACACUGAGGUGCGAAAGCGUGGGUAGCAAACAGGGAUUAGAUACCCUGGUAGUCCACGCCGUAAACGAUGUCGACCAGCCGUUGGGUGCCUAGAGCACUUUGUGGCGGAAGUUAACGCGAUAAGUCGACCGCCUGGGGAGUACGGCCGCAAGGUUAAAACUCAAAUGAAUUGACGGGGGCCCGCCACAAGCGGGUGGAGCAUGUGGUUUAAUUCGAUGCAACCGCGAGAACCUUUACCUUACCCUUGAACAUUCUACAGAAGCCGGGAAGAAGAUUCUGGGUGGUGCCUCCGGGA
Molecule: ribosomal RNA, 909 nt
Filed under: uncultured Halomonas sp.
Lineage: Bacteria; Pseudomonadati; Pseudomonadota; Gammaproteobacteria; Oceanospirillales; Halomonadaceae
Description: bacterial SSU rRNA
Rfam family: Bacterial small subunit ribosomal RNA
Source: RNAcentral